Molecule: ribosomal RNA, 409 nt
Filed under: uncultured archaeon
Lineage: Archaea
Description: bacterial SSU rRNA
Rfam family: Archaeal small subunit ribosomal RNA
Source: RNAcentral
GUAUGUCUUGGGAAAUAUCCCAGGUCUCAACCGUGGGAAUCAGGGAGAUACUGUUUUUUAGGAGCCCGGGAGAGGUAGGAGGUACUCCUGGGAUAGGGGGAAAUUCCGUAAAUCCAGGGGGACCACCUGUGGCGAAGCAUCUCACCUGGAACGGGUCGACAGUGAGGGACGAAACCUAGGGGAGCGAGCCGGAUUAGAUACCCGGGUAGUCCUAGGCGUAAAUGAUGCGAGUUAAGUGUGGGGGCAUCCACGAGAUGGCGAGGUGCUGAAGGGAAGCCGUGAAACGUGCCGCCUGGGAAGUACGGUCGCAAGGCUGAAACUUAAAGGAAUUGGCGGGGGAGCACCACAAGAGGUGGAGCCUGCGGUUCAAUUGGACUCAACGCCGGGAAACUCACCGGGAUAAGACAGC